CCUGCCCACUGAUAUUAAUAUUAAAAGGCUGCGGUAUUUUGACUGUACAAAGGUAGCAUAAUAAUUAGGUUUUUAAUUAAAAUCUUGAAUGAAUGGAGUUACAAAAUAAAAACUGUCUUUUUAUUUUUUCUUGAAUUUAACUUUUAAGUUAAAAGGCUUAAAUACUAUAAAAAGACGAUAAGACCCUAUAAAACUUUAUUCUUAGGUUAAUUACUUAUAUUUAUUAACGAGAAAUAUAAUUUAUUUAUAGAAUUUAAUUGGGGAGUAUAAUAUUUAAUAAAUAAUUUUUUUAUAAUAGUUCAUAAAUAAAUGGUUUAUUAAAGAUCCUAUAUUAUAGAUUUAAAAUUAAGUUACUUUAGGGAUAACAGCGUUAUUUUUUUUGAGAGUUCAUAUCGAAGAAAUUAGUUACGACCUCGAUGUUGAAUUAAAUUAUUAUAUAAAGCAUAAAUUAUAUGAAAUAGGUCUGUUCGACCUUUAGAUAUUUACGUGAUCUGAGUUCACACCGGA
Molecule: ribosomal RNA, 507 nt
Filed under: Hymenosoma depressum
Lineage: Eukaryota; Metazoa; Arthropoda; Malacostraca; Decapoda; Hymenosomatidae
Description: partial 16S ribosomal RNA
Rfam family: Bacterial large subunit ribosomal RNA (bases 361-507)
Source: RNAcentral